Molecule: non-coding RNA, 125 nt
Filed under: Candidatus Omnitrophota bacterium
Lineage: Bacteria; Pseudomonadati; Candidatus Omnitrophota
Source: RNAcentral
GGAAAGAGGUGGAAAUCCUCUACUAUUCGGUAACUGUAAGAGAAACGAAAGCCGGGUUAUCCACUGCCCCGCGUUAUUCCGGGGCGGGAAGGAAGGCAAGUAGGAUGAGUCUUAAGUCAGGAAAC